CAGCCUUAUGCAGGUACCACCACUGUAAUACCACCAUUGUAUUACUGUAGGUAUUCUAUGACACUGAUUGGCAGGUUUUCUCCCUCUCUGCUCUCCACUACAGAUUUCCUCCAUCCUGGCUCCCUUUCUGCAAAGAUGUUGGAGGAAGAUCAGUUAGAGCGGGAAGAAUGUGGGCAAAAAUCAGCUGGAUGCGUGGAAGCCGUUCCUCCUGUACAUACACAAGCAGACGCCGCAUCGAGCGGGCCGGCCCGUUGCUGUGACACAUCAACGCAGAGCCGCCAUAUUGCAUGUGGCAGAUGUGCGCUGUAAACGAAUCCAAGUCAAUGGACUGAACUUCAUGAAGCGCCUUUCUACAAACUUCUAUGCAGAGUCGUGUUGCCCAGGCUGCCCCUGAACACAUCCUAAAGCCUUCAGCCUGCAGCAGUCACAAGGAG
Molecule: long non-coding RNA, 434 nt
Organism: Archocentrus centrarchus (flier cichlid)
Lineage: Eukaryota; Metazoa; Chordata; Actinopteri; Cichliformes; Cichlidae
Exons: 3
Source: RefSeq, a predicted model, not a curated record